UCCUACGGGAGGCAGCAGUAGGGAAUAUUGGACAAUGGGCGAAAGCCUGAUCCAGCAAUGCCGCGUGAGUGAUGAAGGCCUUAGGGUUGUAAAGCUCUUUUACCCGAGAUGAUAAUGACAGUAUCGAGAAAGUCAGUCGCGGCUAACUCCGUGCCAGCAGCCGC
This 164-nucleotide ribosomal RNA is filed under the name uncultured Sphingomonas sp. Its description in RNAcentral is "partial 16S ribosomal RNA". It matches the Rfam family "Bacterial small subunit ribosomal RNA", at positions 337 to 518 of the family's 1533-position model. Lineage: Bacteria; Pseudomonadati; Pseudomonadota; Alphaproteobacteria; Sphingomonadales; Sphingomonadaceae. The record is from RNAcentral.